Molecule: ribosomal RNA, 465 nt
Filed under: Parahaemophilus parainfluenzae
Lineage: Bacteria; Pseudomonadati; Pseudomonadota; Gammaproteobacteria; Pasteurellales; Pasteurellaceae
Description: Haemophilus parainfluenzae bacterial SSU rRNA
Rfam family: Bacterial small subunit ribosomal RNA
Source: RNAcentral
AUUGAACGCUGGCGGCAGGCUUAACACAUGCAAGUCGAACGGUAGCAGGAAGAAGCUUGCUUCUUUGCUGACGAGUGGCGGACGGGUGAGUAAUGCUUGGGAAUCUAGCUUAUGGAGGGGGAUAACUACGGGAAACUGUAGCUAAUACCGCGUAAUAUCGAAAGAUUAAAGUGUGGGACCUUCGGGCCACAUGCCAUAGGAUGAGCCCAAGUGGGAUUAGGUAGUUGGUGAGGUAAAGGCUCACCAAGCCGACGAUCUCUAGCUGGUCUGAGAGGAUGACCAGCCACACUGGGACUGAGACACGGCCCAGACUCCUACGGGAGGCAGCAGUGGGGAAUAUUGCGCAAUGGGGGCAACCCUGACGCAGCCAUGCCGCGUGAAUGAAGAAGGCCUUCGGGUUGUAAAGUUCUUUCGGUAGCGAGGAAGGCAUUUAGUUUAAUAGACUAGAUGAGAGACGUAACUACA